Molecule: long non-coding RNA, 1094 nt
Organism: Tigriopus californicus
Lineage: Eukaryota; Metazoa; Arthropoda; Copepoda; Harpacticoida; Harpacticidae
Exons: 3
Source: RefSeq, a predicted model, not a curated record
AAGAUUCAAGACGGUAGAGUGGUCAAUAACAGGAAGAGUAAGAAUUAAAAAUGAGUGCCUAUGCAGAUGUCAAGGAUACCUGGUUCUGAUAGUUUGGACGUUUUUUGAUGGAUCAGGAAAUGCCAGGGAGAACAUUCUCAAGUACCCCAAAACGUCUUGUCAGGUAAUUGCGACCUCUUGACAUUUGGGAGUUGAGCUCACCCUCCAACGAACCGCCUACAUUUGCGUCUCAAAGUGGAGGAAGUUGAUUUUCUCUGGCGUAAUGAGCCCCUCCAAUUUUGGCCACCAAUGUCAGAGAAGUUUCGAGGUAGUUUCUCCGGAUAUUGGUUUCAGAUCUCGAGACUAAUCCCUUGGCUUGGAAGCCAAAAAAGCUUCAGGUUACCCGAUGAUCCAUUCAUAAAUCUCGGGAUGGGACUCAGAAUUGUGAGAAACAAAAGAGCAUUGAUUCUCCCAAGAAAAUCAUAUGGACAAUGGAAGGAUCUACUCAAUCCAAUAAUUAACCUGAAACCAAAAGUUCUGGCAUCGAUUUAUCCAACAGCCUCGCUUUUCGAGUGAUUUAAUGACAACGACCAAGAUGAAAAAACAGUCAGUCAAAGGCUAUAUGGAUAUUGCAACGGCAACCUGACAUGAACAAAUAUUUUUGAUUCUAAGGGCCACGAAUCGAGUUCGGCGGGGAUUGAUUACAGAGAGAGAAAAAGAAGCUGCACGAAGAAGCACGGUGUGAGAGAAUCAUGAAUGAAUGCAGUGGAUGAUGAUGGCAUUGAAAGUGGCACCAAUGAUAUUUUUCAAUCAACCUUAACCUGUAAUCAUUCCUGGAGAUGAUCUCCACACAAUCCACUACACACAAUGUUUGGAUUCGAGAUCAGAGGGAUCCUUGAGGAAGAUCGACAAUUGGAGACAACCUGGAUUAUGUGCCUUUACUUACAAAGAUACUCCUCAAAGAGAACUCUAGAUAGGGGGGGGGCACCCCCAAAUAUUUUUUGGAUACGACAUGAAUGCAUCUCAACUCCACCUGACGGGUAUCCCCGUAAUGAGACCUUACAUCUCAUAUUGCUAAUGGUGUCAGCCAAGGAAAAGAAAAAAAUAAAUAUCCA